GACGAACGCUGGCGGCGGGCUUAACACAUGCAAGUCGAACGGAAAGGCCCCUUUGGGGGUACUCGAGUGGCGAACGGGGGAGUAACACGGGAGUAACCUGCCCUUGACUUCGGGAUAACUUCAGGAAACUGGGGCUAAUACCGGAUAGGAAUCCUAGCUGCAUGGGGGGGGUUGGAAAGCUUCGGCGGUUUUGGGUGGACUGGCGGCGUAUCAGCUGGUUGGUGGGGUAGUGGCUUACCAAGGCUUCGACGCGUAGCCGGCCUGUGAGGGUGACCGGCCACCUUGGGUCUGACAUGCGGCCCCGACGCCUACGGGUGGCAGCUGUGGGGAAUCCUGCUCCAUGGGCGGCAGCCGGAUGCAGCAGCGCCGCGUGCGGGAUGACCGCCUUCUGGUUGUAAACCGCUUUCAGCAGGGGCGAAGCUUGUGGUGACGGUACCUGCAGAAGAAGCACCGGCUAACUACGUG
This 465-nucleotide ribosomal RNA is filed under the name uncultured bacterium. RNAcentral describes it as "partial 16S ribosomal RNA". It matches the Rfam family "Bacterial small subunit ribosomal RNA", at positions 28 to 507 of the family's 1533-position model. The record is from RNAcentral.